RNAcentral lists this ribosomal RNA (909 nucleotides) under Aspergillus versicolor. Its description in RNAcentral is "LSU rRNA". It matches the Rfam family "Eukaryotic large subunit ribosomal RNA", at positions 38 to 964 of the family's 3401-position model. The record is from RNAcentral. Lineage: Eukaryota; Fungi; Ascomycota; Eurotiomycetes; Eurotiales; Aspergillaceae.
GCAUAUCAAUAAGCGGAGGAAAAGAAACCAACCGGGAUUGCCCCAGUAACGGCGAGUGAAGCGGCAAGAGCUCAAAUUUGAAAUCUGGCCCCUCCGGGGUCCGAGUUGUAAUUUGCAGAGGAUGCUUCGGGUGCGGCCCCUGUCUAAGUGCCCUGGAACGGGCCGUCAGAGAGGGUGAGAAUCCCGUCUUGGGCAGGGUGCCCGUGCCCGUGUGAAGCUCCUUCGACGAGUCGAGUUGUUUGGGAAUGCAGCUCUAAAUGGGUGGUAAAUUUCAUCUAAAGCUAAAUACCGGCCGGAGACCGAUAGCGCACAAGUAGAGUGAUCGAAAGAUGAAAAGCACUUUGAAAAGAGAGUUAAACAGCACGUGAAAUUGUUGAAAGGGAAGCGCUUGCGACCAGACUCGGCCUCGGGGUUCAGCCAGCAUUCGUGCUGGUGUACUUCCCCGGGGCCGGGCCAGCGUCGGUUCGGGCGGCCGGUCAAAGGCCCCAGGAAUGUAUCGUCCUCCGGGACGUCUUAUAGCCUGGGGUGCAAUGCGGCCAGCCUGGACCGAGGAACGCGCUUCGGCACGGACGCUGGCGUAAUGGUCACAAACGACCCGUCUUGAAACACGGACCAAGGAGUCUAACAUCUACGCGAGUGUUCGGGUGUCAAACCCGUACGCGCAGUGAAAGCGAACGGAGGUGGGAGCCCCUUUGGGGCGCACCAUCGACCGAUCCUGAAGUCUUCGGAUGGAUUUGAGUACGAGCGUAGCUGUGGGGACCCGAAAGAUGGUGAACUAUGCCUGAAUAGGGUGAAGCCAGAGGAAACUCUGGUGGAGGCUCGCAGCGGUUCUGACGUGCAAAUCGAUCGUCAAAUUUGGGUAUAGGGGCGAAAGACUAAUCGAACCAUCUGGUAGCUGGUUCCUGCCGA